RNAcentral lists this long non-coding RNA (720 nucleotides) under Homo sapiens (human). Its description in RNAcentral is "HSALNT0070452". The record is from RNAcentral. Lineage: Eukaryota; Metazoa; Chordata; Mammalia; Primates; Hominidae.
CGGCUGCCAGCUGAUUUUCACGGCAUGGUUCCAGGGCAUGAUUCAGUGAUUUGUUCAAAGCCACACCACCAGUGGAUAACAGAGAAGAGAGAGAAAGCAAAGUCAUUAGGCCUCUUUCUGCUGCCCUGGCCCCAUGAGAGAACCUACAAUAAGCAAUCUGCUGUGACAUUCUGAACAUAGCCCCCUAGACAGAAAUUAAAUGUGUCAAGAAGGACCACUUUGAAAACCUUUGUGCCACCAGCCCCUUCCCUCCUUCCAAUUAGCCUACUCCCACCCCAUGACCCUACCUACCUAUCAAGUCGGCUUCCUGUUAAGAGGACAACAUGCUCUAGAGACAAGUAUUUGCAGUUGGAGGAUCCCUGAAGCUGCCUCUCAAAUUCUCAAGCACUUAGGGUGGGAGUCGCUGAGCUACUGGCCUUCUUGGCUGAACAUUUCAGGGGAAACAGCAGAUUGAGAGUAAGCAAGUAAAUGGGAGCACCCUGGAGUUGCUGGAAGUCAUUGUUACCUUUUUUUCCCUUUUUUCAUUUAUGUGGAUGGGUAGUUGUCACCUCAAAUUGACCUUAGUGUAUCUUCAACAUAGUUGUAAUGUAAGGAACCCACAGUUUGAAGACUAAUAACUUGGGUUUGAAUCUUAGCUCCAUCAUUUAUUGCUAAUUUAACUUUGAGCAAGUUUCUUAAACUUCUAUACCUUGGUGUUCCCAUGUGUAAUUGAGUACUUGG